Molecule: long non-coding RNA, 1664 nt
Organism: Armigeres subalbatus
Lineage: Eukaryota; Metazoa; Arthropoda; Insecta; Diptera; Culicidae
Exons: 4
Source: RefSeq, a predicted model, not a curated record
AUGUCACGUUACUUCAGUAAAUAGUGUUCGGUUAUUUUCUUCCGCUGUAUUUUAUUUGCACAAACGUUUGCACAAACCGGUGGUAAAUACCGUAAAUAAAAAAACAAACAUUAAAUAAAAUUAACAAUAAUCAAUGCAUUGCCGCGGUUUUAGACGACUUCAUGGCAUCAGAUACAGCUAAUAUGCAACGGCCAGGGGUAAAAAUCCACAUAUGGGAAGCUGCUAAAUUGUUGCUUGCUUAUCCCAUGAAACAAUUCCGUUACCUUAUCACUAGCAGCAGAACGCCAGCUUACCCGCAUCGACAGAAUAUGAGUUACAUAUUUACAUGAAACGGUCGUGUGUACCCUGAACUGAUAGUAUUUACUCGAGAAAUAGAUGCCGGAAUGCUUGGUGGAAGCAGUCCUGAAAGAAGUUUGGAAGCUUGAUCGUUGCUGGUGUUUCAAUAACAGAUGACAAAAGCAAGAUUAUUUUGACGGCUAUUUCUGGAACAAGAUAUCGAUCCGGAAAUAAGAAAAGACCAUCGAAAAGUAUUUUGCUUUCCAAUUCAUCAAGAAUUGCACAGCAGGAGGAGAAAAUCAUUCAAAGAUUUGCUCCGAACAAGUCUAAUCUGUAUUGGCUAUACAGCAACUGUUUGAGCUGAAUUUGAUCAACAUCAAGAAAGUUAGCAUCGCAGCGUCAUAGUACCUACUGAGCCAUUACGGACGAAUAUGAUUAUCUGAACGAGAAUUGAGCAAGCGGAAAACGAUAAAAAAACACAUGGAUUCGGGCUCGGAGAAUUCGGUUUGGUGAAAAACGAAUCACGGAAGAAACCUCGAAAGUCUUAUGGCAGUUCUUCUGAUAUCAUGUCUCAUAAUUUGCUGCUAAAUAUCUACCCGGGAGAAGUAAACACGCAUAUCGUUGAGCGAAUUUUGAAACUUGACAAAACUGCAAAGGAACGGUUGCUGGCAAAAAAGUGCAAACCACAAGGUAUUAUAAUAACUGCUAGAAUUUUGCCCUCAUGAAACCAGAGUCGAGUGUGCAUUUACUGAAGAUGCGGAUAGCGCAUUUAUUACGUUAUUACUAUCGAUUCGUAAUCGCCGAUGUUAAGGAGGAGAAGGCGGAUAAACCUGGGGAUAAACAAUCAACCUCCAAGGUAUUCAAUAACCGAGUCUCGUUAUUGUCAACAAUCCAUUGUUUGCCUCACACGGACGCGAAGAAGAAGUUGUGACGAUUACGCACACUUCUGCUGAUCGAAUGUUUCACUUCUGAGAAUAUAGAAACGCCUGUCGGAUUCUUUGCCUUAUUGGUGGCAGUGGUAAGAAAGCGCAUUGUGAGAGCAUGCCUGUCUCCUGUAUUCGAGAGUGCUGUCCGACUGGUGGCCAUCAUAGCCGCGAUGCUUUGAUGUAAUUAACUUGAUAGUGUCAAUCUCAUUCGGGUGACCAAUGUUAGUUUGUACCUUUUACUAUACUUUUUUUUUUAAACUUUCUAAAACUUGUUUGGUGGAAUGGCUUAUAUGUAUUCCAAUAAAUUCCAGCAUUUGAUGACUCUAAAGAUUCAUAUUUCGACAGGAACAGUAUAGUAUAUGGCCUUCUACAGUGUUUCACUGUUAACUGACCGUUAAGUAGAAUAACUCAUGUCUUACAUUUUACACCAACAAUAAAAUAUGUAUACACUAGAUAAAUAAA